RNAcentral lists this ribosomal RNA (358 nucleotides) under uncultured bacterium. RNAcentral's name for it is "partial 16S ribosomal RNA". It matches the Rfam family "Bacterial small subunit ribosomal RNA", at positions 338 to 710 of the family's 1533-position model. The record is from RNAcentral.
CCUACGGGAGGCAGCAGUGGGGAAUAUUGGGCAAUGGGCGCAAGCCUGACCCAGCAACGCCGCGUGAAGGAAGAAGGCCCUCGGGUUGUAAACUUCUUUUAUCAGGGACGUAACAACUGACGGUACCUGAUGAAUAAGCCAAGGCUAACUACGUGCCAGCAGCCGCGGUAAUACGUAGGUUGCAAGCGUUGUCCGGAUUUAAUGGGUUUAAGGGGCGUGUAGGCGGGCUGACAAGUCAGAUGUGAAAUCCGGUGGCUCAACCACCGAACUGCAUUUGAAACUGGUGGUCUUGAGUAUCGGAGAGGUAGGCGGAAUGCCUGGUGUAGCGGUGAAAUGCGUAGAUAUUAGGAGGAACACC